AUACGGAGGGUGCAAGCGUUAAUCGGAAUUACUGAGCGUAAAGCGCGCGUAGGCGGAUAUUUAAGUCUCAUGUGAAAGCCCUGGGCUCAACCUGGGAACUGCAUGGGAUACUGGGUAUCUAGAAUACAGUAGAGGGUAGUGGAAUUUCAGGUGUAGCGGUGAAAUGCGUAGAGAUCUGAAGGAACAUCAGUGGCGAAGGCGACUACCUGGACUGAUAUUGACGCUGAGGUGCGAAAGCGUGGGGAGCAAACGGGAUUAGAAACCCUAGUAGUCC
This 274-nucleotide ribosomal RNA is filed under the name uncultured bacterium. RNAcentral describes it as "partial 16S ribosomal RNA". It matches the Rfam family "Bacterial small subunit ribosomal RNA", at positions 523 to 796 of the family's 1533-position model. The record is from RNAcentral.